This is a long non-coding RNA of Harpia harpyja (harpy eagle), 5537 nucleotides long. RefSeq lists it as uncharacterized. Lineage: Eukaryota; Metazoa; Chordata; Aves; Accipitriformes; Accipitridae. The transcript has 4 exons. The record is from RefSeq and is a predicted model, not a curated record.
UGAAAAAGUAGGGAACAAAAUAAUUGUUUUAAUAACAUUUCACAGAAAUUAUAAGGUCUUGACCUGACAUGUUAGCAGCAGACUUAAGGAGUCACCCACGGAAGCUAAGUACCCUACUCUGACGCUGCUGUGUUUAAUCACCAGCAACAGAUGUGAUAGAAAAAUUAGUGAUUUCAAGCAAGUCAGAGAUGUAAAGAGGAAGCUUUUAAACUAGCUCAGCAAAAACACCUUUCAAGGGGCAGCGAGAAGACCUUUUGGCAGUAUUUAAUACUCUUUAAUCAGCUUCCCUUAACUGGCAGUUCAGAAAACCCUAGCUGAAACAAGGCAGACGAGUUUUGUUUCUAACAGCUGCUCAGAAAACCUUGAGCGAGGGGAGAGAACGAGCUGUGUCUUCCCUACCAGAAGCAAUCGGUGCUUACUGCGUUGUUCAGAACAGACCAUUCUCAUAAAACUACAAGGCUUCGUCCUCCCCUCUCUGAGGCUGUGGGAAUUUGGGGUAACUACAUGGAAAACAAUGGGGUUUUGCACCGGUUUAAGCGACACGGAGCAGCUCUCCUUUUGGUAGCUGGUUUCCGAGCCCUCGGUCGGGAGCUGUUUCUGGGGAGCACUGUGCAGACACAGGCGGGACGAUGCUCGGACGCGGCCGAGAUCAAAGCGCAGGUCUCCGUUUCAGGCAUUCGUGGGUAAUGAAACGCAGAGCGAGGACGUGUCCCCCGGGCAGCGACUCCUGCCAUGGGGCCCCGCUCCCGGCUGCGACCCUCUUGCUGGGCUGUACCGAAGCUAAUUGACAGGCUGAGACGAUCUCACAACCCGCGGCUUAUUUACAGGCUCAAAGGGGCGUUCGCACCGAAUCCCGAGGUUCGUCUGCUGUUGCGCAGCAGAUGAAUUCUAACAUAUUUGUGUAAUUCACAAACUUUUCCUGUUUUUUCUCCUGUCCGAAGCCCUGGUGCACUAGUGACUUUCCAUGGACACACGUGAAGCUGGUGAACUACCGAGCUUGCUUAGCCUAUCGAUGAGGAAACUGAGGAACAUGCUAGCUGCACGCUUGGCAAAAGUGUGACAAUAACCAGUAAUGAGAGAGGAGUGCUCCAUCUGUUCAGACUAUUCAGCUCCUUGACGUGGCUGCCCACGUGACCAGUAUGUGGAACUGGUGUUAAUUAGUUGCAGAUCUUCGGCAUACCAUUCUUAACUGAUUCCCCUAGUAAAUAUGUUUAACACUUGCCUUGGUUUCCUGUACAUGAUUCAUUCGGUUGGCAGUUCAAGCUCUUGCUUUAAAAACUUCCUAGGUCCCUUUAUCAGAGAUCGGCAGCACGUGCGCAUUUUUUCAAUAUGAUGAUGAUGACUACAAGGAAGUCUCCUAAAAUCAAGAUAAGUGUCUGUCCUUGCUUUAUGCCAAACUGGCACACAACACAGUGAACACAGAGUAAAUCAGUGAUGACAUGCAGUUUAGUGCUAUCAAAAACAGCAUUCAGAGAGACGCAGCUGACACACUGGAGGGAAGCAAUUACCCUCAGGGAGGCUUUAGUGUCAAAAACCUACGAGUACGUAUCCACUGAUAAAAGGGUGGCUUAUGCUACAGUGUUCAGACCACAUCAUAUUCUCAUGCGAUCUAGGUAUCAAAGGCCACAAAGUUUUCCCUAGAUAUGUUCCCAUAAUCUCUGUAUCUGGAGAGGAUCUUCCACUUUGAUCUGGAGACAUGAAGGUCUGACAAAUGUACUGCAUCCACCACAUCCUUCACGGCUUCUUCUCAUGUUUAGUCAUCCUCCAUGUGAAAAAACCUACAUCUUGUUGCUAACUUAAUAUUAUCUAGUUCCAGUUUUCCACCGCUGAUUUCUGUGACUUUCUCUGACAGAUAGCCUUCUCAUAGCUGUUGUAUUCUUCCUGAGAAAGUGCUUCGGUGUCACAAGUGUGUUACCUCUUAAACUCACUUCUGACAAAUAAAAGAUAUUAAAUCUCUUUAUAGGUCUCACCAAAAGGCAUUUCCACCAGAUCUUGUGCUAUUUUUGGAGGCUUUUAUUUUGCACAUCCCCUUGACAUCCUUUUUUUGUGUCAUCAUAUGGAGAAGUAAUAUUCGGCCUCUUGAACCUGUUCACUUGUUCCUAGCAUAUAUAUUGUGGGAUCAUUUUAGCUCUAUUUUCCUCACCAGCGCAUUAGGGGCUCCAGUGGAGCUGCCUGCUCAUGUUUUUCCUGCUUCCUAGCCAGUUUACUAAUUUCAAUUCAAAAAUAUUUAUUGGAUUACUGGAGUAAAUGGCAUCUACAAACUAGCAGGACUUGUUGGUUGCCAGCAGGUGACUGCCCCGUACUUGGUUCCUUCCCCUGCAAAGGAGAAAUAACAUUUCUACAGCACUUAGUCUAUCUUGUCAGCUCUGACUAAUCUCAUCACAAUGUUGGGAAGAAGAAGGUUAAUCUUUUUGUGAUUAACAGGGAAUCUGGAGCACUUACAGAUAGAUCUUUCUGUGGAUACUGAAGAGAUUUAUGGUUGCUGCAUAGGCUGGUAGCCUUGGUCAGUAUGAUAACAUUAGCAGACAAAACCCUGAUGCCUUAGUGUUGCUUUCAGACAGUCUGUCCCAUCGUAUCUGUAUGGCAAGUGUGGUCAGUGGAUUAAAAUUUGCUUCUGCACUGUUCGCAGUAUCACUUUCUGUAGUGAAGGAUUAUCAUAAAUGCAUUUGAUUUCUUAUAUUCCUGGCAUACCCCCUGCAAAUAAAAGUAGCUUACGGAGGCUGUAUUUUAAUGGUGCUCUGUAGGUACGUACCUAUUUGUUCUGGCCACAGUACACAUGGAGCUGGUUGCUCAGACCUGGUUUGUGUUCAGUGCUUUCCCAUUGGAGGCAGAGAAAUUGUGAGUCUGGCUGUAAAAGACCACAGCGAAGUACCCAGAGCUGGUCCAUCACUGGAGCUCGUGUUCCAGAGGGACAGCCAGGGGAGCUGGGGUGAAUCAUCUCAGCAUGGGGAGUCAGACCUGAGACUUAUGGGGCUGCUGCCCCCCAGAUGUAACCUGGUCAUAGAUGAUUUAUUGCUUUGUCUUCUCUUCCUUUAAUCCCAGGUCUCCUUAUACCUGAAGGAGAUCAUCCUUCCUGGGCCUUGCUGUUCAGACAAGUCCAAAAAAUUCAGACAUUGCAGAUUGCCGUGGUCUUCUGGAUGUGCAGAAAUCAGUGCUCAGUUCAUAAGUGUCCUAUGAGUGAACCCUGUAUGCCCAGGGAGCUUGCUGGCCUUUGCCUAAGAUGAAAUGCGUGACCCUGGUUCCUUCAAAGGCGAUGUCACAGCAAAGGGCUGAGUCUCUUCCAUGGUUGGUAGUUGCCUGGGAUGCGCGUGUUAGCACAAAGGUUUGUUUUAUUGAAGGCUCUGUCCUGUGAGCAGUCAGGUUGAAGGCCUGGAGUCAUCACGAAGAAGCUUCUAGAUCUGGCUCUGCAGAAGAAAUCUCUAUUAAUGACUAAGCACUGAGGUUUUUGAAACUGCUGUUUUGUCUAGAUCCCAGGCUUGUGUCCCUGAGUUGUGCCCCGAGGAUCCAGCCAGUGUCAGAGCAACCUGCAGGAUUCGGUGGGGUUGCUGCUCCUCUGCUCACCCUGCCCAAAAAAACGCAGCCUCUUGGGAUGAAUCCAACAAUUUUUGUCUCCUUCCAUAACACAGGGAGCCACGAUUUCACCAUAAGGCAUGUGACAAUGCAAGCAAUGACGGCAAUGAUUUCCCAUUUUAUAAUUACCAUGGCAACUAUAUCGUAACUUAGACUGGCAACAUUUACUUUCUGGGGUUGUCUCUCUUAAAACAUGACAUAAUUUAGCAUUCAAAGCUAUCCCACCGCCCCGUUCCCGCACCACCCUGCCAGCCGUGCCAUACGACAACGUUUUGUUGCAGCAGUGCUUUUGGAGAUCCCAUGCAUAGAGUUACUUGUUCCUCCACGCUUCUUUCCAAAUAAUGCAGCAUUUCAGAAGGGAGGGCUGCGUUUGGUAGGUGUUUUUCAGACGGGAGUAUCUUGUAAUUUUCCGAGCCUCUGUAGGAGUGCGUGUUUAAGCCAAGCUCAAGUCCUUUAGCUGUUCCCUACAGCCCAGGUUCAUUUCACGUAACAUUUUCCUAAAUUUAGGGUAUUGAGCUUAAAUUCACUGUAUAAGGCAUCUCCUUAUGAGAUGAGGUGGCUCUUUUCUCAGCUAUCAAUAACUGUGCUGCCCACAGCUUACCGUGGCCUUUAGCUACCAUGCAAAACACGCAAUUCAACACAUGCAAAACAGGGAACUAAAAUCUGUUUACCCAGCGUGGAUCAGAGGCAGUCCUAUUUUUAAGCCUAGCUCGGGAAUGUGGGUAGCAAAGCGUCUCGGGAGGAGGAGGUCCAGGCUGGAAAUGGUGGGCAGCCACAGCAAGGCAGGACAAGCUUUCUGCCUGAGCCGUGCUGCUGCUGGGCAGAGCCAUGGUGGCCUUGGGGCAGGCAGGAGAGGGGCAGGCGGCUCCAUGCCCGGGUCCACCCGCUGAGGAGAAAUCGGCAGCGACGGCUGGACCCCGAGGCCUCUCUCCGGGAGGAGCUCGCUUCCCAUCGCGGCUCGCUCCUGCUGAAGCCCUCGCAGUCAAAAAGUCACAGCUCAUUCUGCCUCCGGCUUUCAGCCCUCUUGGUUCGUUUGUAGUCCUGCCGUUGAUCCAAGGCCCUCUCCGAAACCUCCUGAAGUCAGGCAAACUGGGAAAGGUCUUCAGCAUCACGUAAACUCUUAACAGCUCUCCUCUAAUUAGCCUCAGGUUACAGGCAGCGGAGGGGGGGAAGGCAGCUCCCAUAGAAAAAGGGUUUGGAGUGGACGGCAUGUCCUGUGGGAAAAGCUCAAAUCCUGGAAGGAAAUGCUGGCCAUCAUUAUGUCAAGGGUCUCUGCUGACACUUCAUCAUGUUUCUGUUUGAAAAUGAAUCAUUUGCUGUUACAAGCAAGUUCUGAGAUGAUUAAAUGGAGCGGAGGACGGACAGCAAUAUUAGCCACAUUUUCAGUCUACAAAAGGGAUUUUUUUUUUUUAUGUUCUUGAUAUUUUCCAUUUUACUUCUCAACUGGAAAACAUAACCUUCUGGUUUACAUGCCCCCUGGGGGCCGUGUUCACCUCCCGGCUCUGCUGGGUAACUCUGGCCAAGCUAUUUCAGCUCAGGAGUUAAUGGCUUUGCUUUCACAUCCUUCAUCUGCUUGUCUCCUCAGAUCAGCGUUCCUCAAACUCCACCAGCCCAUGGGCUACAAGAGGCAACAAGUUUUCCAGGCAACACCACCCUUUGCUCUCCCUGUGAGCCUCAGUUUUAACUUCUGAAUUUCCUGUGCCUGUGAGUAGCAUCGGGGCAGGUUCCCACAAGCCGUGGGCUAGCGUGGUGAUGUUUCAGUGCAGGAGCUGUUGAUGGACACCUAAAGCCUUGGAGGAGCACUGGUGUUGUGCCAGCUCCCCUCUGAGAUGCUGAUCUACAAAUGAUGAGAGUCUUCAACAAGCUCCAAGAACAGAAACUAGUACUUUAUUUCAAUUUUCAGCAGCUAAUUUUCAGACUCAUUUAUCACACUGCUGACCAAACCACCACUGCUGAGUUAGCACUUG